RNAcentral lists this ribosomal RNA (259 nucleotides) under uncultured prokaryote. Its description in RNAcentral is "partial 16S ribosomal RNA". It matches the Rfam family "Bacterial small subunit ribosomal RNA", at positions 524 to 782 of the family's 1533-position model. The record is from RNAcentral.
UACGUAGGUGGCGAGCGUUGUCCGGAUUUACUGGGCGUAAAGGGAGCGUAGGCGGACUUUUAAGUGAGAUGUGAAAUACCCGGGCUCAACUUGGGUGCUGCAUUUCAAACUGGAAGUCUAGAGUGCAGGAGAGGAGAAUGGAAUUCCUAGUGUAGCGGUGAAAUGCAUUGAUAUCAUGUGGAACACCGGAGGCGAAGGCGAGUCACUGGAACGGAUCUGACGCUGAGGCACGAAAGCGUGGGGAGCAAACAGGAUUAGA